This 93-nucleotide transfer RNA is filed under the name Pseudomonadota bacterium. Its description in RNAcentral is "tRNA-Ser". It matches the Rfam family "tRNA". From Rfam's summary of the family: Transfer RNA (tRNA) molecules are approximately 80 nucleotides in length. Their secondary structure includes four short double-helical elements and three loops (D, anti-codon, and T loops). The record is from RNAcentral. Lineage: Bacteria; Pseudomonadati; Pseudomonadota. RNAcentral also lists the same sequence under 1 other name.
GGAGGGCUGACCGAGUGGCCGAAGGUGCUCGCCUGCUAAGCGAGUAGGGGGCGUCGAGCCCCCUCGAGGGUUCAAAUCCCUCGCCCUCCGCCA